This 87-nucleotide transfer RNA is filed under the name Candidatus Glassiibacteriota bacterium. Its description in RNAcentral is "Candidatus Glassbacteria bacterium tRNA-Leu". It matches the Rfam family "tRNA". Rfam says of the family: Transfer RNA (tRNA) molecules are approximately 80 nucleotides in length. Their secondary structure includes four short double-helical elements and three loops (D, anti-codon, and T loops). Lineage: Bacteria; Candidatus Glassiibacteriota. The record is from RNAcentral. RNAcentral also lists the same sequence under 1 other name.
GCCGAAGUGGUGAAAUUGGUAUACACGCUAGUUUCAGGGACUAGUGGGAGCAAUCCCGUGGGGGUUCGAGUCCCCCCUUCGGCACCA